This 1253-nucleotide long non-coding RNA is filed under the name Ursus maritimus (polar bear). RNAcentral's name for it is "lncRNA (ENSUMAG00000012345.1)". The record is from RNAcentral. Lineage: Eukaryota; Metazoa; Chordata; Mammalia; Carnivora; Ursidae.
GAGCUGCCCAGAGCGGGGGGCUGCAGAGGAAGCACGAGCCUCCACAGGUCGGCCUGCAAGGGUCCCAGCUGCAGCCACAGGCCGGAGGGGAGGGAAGACCAACAUCACCCCUUUCGCAGACGUCUGAGGAACCGGGAGAGUCAGGAGCGAACCAAAACGCAACUUUUAAAUUCAAAUGUGGGUAUUUUCCAGGAGAUUAUGGUUUAAGACAAGCCUCAAUGAGAAGAGUAAGUCAGGUUUUUUUUUUUUUUUCAAAAGCAAGUAACAGUGGAGUUGGCACCAAUAACCAGCAAACACUGUGGAAGACCCGUCGGAGAAGUGACGUAGUUGACCCACUGAGAAAACGCAAGUGAAAGUAAAAAUGCGUGUGGUCCGUAGAGAAAGAAGAGGUUCUCAUCACCCCUCGGGGGCAUUUGCUCCCUCAUGCACCCGAAUAAUGAUGCAUGGAGCAGCUGUCUUAUAAAUCGCACUGCUCUGAGUGCACACGUCCCAGCCGCCAGCGCGGCUGUCACUCAGAAGGCCCCGAGUGUGUGACGAGGCCGCGGGGCCUUGGCCAAGAGUGAGGCCCAGAGCCUGAUCUAAAGACAGGAUCAGUGAGGGGGAAAGAAAAGAGAAGCACGCAAAUCACUGGAAAAUGGGGGCAUGUGGUAGAGAAGACUCCUGGGUGCUUUGGGAACAGCUCAAAGUACUGGUGUACAACCUUCCCACGAGGCAGGCAGCAUCCUUCACGCAUCUGUGCUCUUCCUGGGGACCUCCUGUGUGUUACUCCGGGUGUGGGAAUACGGCGGUGAGCGAGGGACGGAUCCCUCGCCCCGAGGAGCUGGUGGACGGAAGACGCGGGUAAGAGGCUCUACGCAAGCAGAUACAUGCGACAAAAUACAGUAAGCGUGAUAAGCAAAGCAUGUGAAAGUGUGAGGCCGGGGGGCGUGUGGGCCCACUUCCUGAAGGGUGACAUUCGGAGCUCAUCUUACAGGACACCUAGGAACCUACCAGAGAGAGGACAGAACAGCCGCCCAGAUCCACAGGUCUGCUUCACCUAGGACUUUGCUUUAUUAAGCAAAGCUGCCUGAGGGGCACCUGGGUGGCUCAGUCGGCUUAGUGUCUGCCGUCGGCUCAGGUCAUGAUCUCAGGGUCCUGGGAUCAAGUACCGAGUCAGGCUCCCUGCUCAGUGGGGAGUCUGCUUCUCCCUCUGCCCCUCCCCCUGCUCUCUCUCUCUCAAAUAAAUAAAUAAAAUAUUAAAAAAAAAAAAAGCA